CCACAAUGGGCGCAAGCCUGAUGGAGCAACACCGCGUGAGUGAAGAAGGGUUUCGGCUCGUAAAGCUCUGUUGUUAAAGAAGAACACGUAUGAGAGUAACUGUUCAUACGCUGACGGUAUUUAACCAGAAAGUCACGGCUAACUACGUGCCAGCAGCCGCGGUAAUACGUAGGUGGCAAGCGUUAUCCGGAUUUAUUGGGCGUAAAGAGAGUGCAGGCGGUUUUCUAAGUCUGAUGUGAAAGCCUUCGGCUUAACCGGAGAAGUGCAUCGGAAACUGGAUAACUUGAGUGCAGAAGAGGGUAGUGGAACUCCAUGUGUAGCGGUGGAAUGCGUAGAUAUAUGGAAGAACACCAGUGGCGAAGGCGGCUACCUGGUCUGCAACUGACGCUGAGACUCGAAAGCAUGGGUAGCGAACAGGAUUAGAUACCCUGGUAG
This 435-nucleotide ribosomal RNA is filed under the name uncultured bacterium. RNAcentral describes it as "bacterial SSU rRNA". It matches the Rfam family "Bacterial small subunit ribosomal RNA", at positions 366 to 793 of the family's 1533-position model. The record is from RNAcentral.